UACGUAGGGUGCGAGCGUUGUCCGGAAUUAUUGGGCGUAAAGAGCUCGUAGGCGGUGUGUCACGUCGGCCGUGAAAACCUGCAGCUUAACUGUGGGCGUGCGGUCGAUACGGGCAUCACUGGAGUUCGGCAGGGGAGACUGGAAUUCCUGGUGUAGCGGUGAAAUGCGCAGAUAUCAGGAGGAACACCGGUCGCGCAGGCGGGUCUCUGGGCCGAUACUGACGCUGAGGAGCGAAAGCGUGGGAAGCAAACAGG
Molecule: ribosomal RNA, 254 nt
Filed under: uncultured bacterium
Lineage: Bacteria
Description: partial 16S ribosomal RNA
Rfam family: Bacterial small subunit ribosomal RNA
Source: RNAcentral